UACGUAGGGGGGCUAGCGUUGUCCGGAAUCAUUGGGCGUAAAGCGCGUGUAGGCGGUCUCUUAAGUCUGAUGUGAAAGCCCCGGGCUCAACCCGGGAAGUGCAUUGGAUACUGGGAGACUUGAAUACGGGAGAGGGUAGUGGAAUUCCUAGUGUAGGAGUGAAAUCCGUAGAUAUUAGGAGGAACACCGGUGGCGAAGGCGGCUACCUGGACCGAUAUUGACGCUGAGACGCGAAAGCGUGGGGAGCAAACAGG
This 254-nucleotide ribosomal RNA is filed under the name uncultured bacterium. RNAcentral describes it as "partial 16S ribosomal RNA". It matches the Rfam family "Bacterial small subunit ribosomal RNA", at positions 524 to 776 of the family's 1533-position model. The record is from RNAcentral.